Molecule: ribosomal RNA, 596 nt
Filed under: uncultured bacterium
Lineage: Bacteria
Description: bacterial SSU rRNA
Rfam family: Bacterial small subunit ribosomal RNA
Source: RNAcentral
AAUGCUUAGGAAUCUGCCUAUUAGUGGGGGACAACAUUCCGAAAGGAAUGCUAAUACCGCAUACGCCCUACGGGGGAAAGCAGGGGAUCUUCGGACCUUGCGCUAAUAGAUGAGCCUAGGUCGGAUUAGCUAGUUGGUGAGGUAAUGGCUCACCAAGGCGACGAUCCGUAACUGGUCUGAGAGGAUGAUCAGUCACACUGGAACUGAGACACGGUCCAGACUCCUACGGGAGGCAGCAGUGGGGAAUAUUGGACAAUGGGCGAAAGCCUGAUCCAGCCAUGCCGCGUGUGUGAAGAAGGUCUUCGGAUUGUAAAGCACUUUAAGUUGGGAGGAAGGGUAGUAACCUAAUACGUUGCUACUUUGACGUUACCGACAGAAUAAGCACCGGCUAACUUCGUGCCAGCAGCCGCGGUAAUACGAAGGGUGCAAGCGUUAAUCGGAAUUACUGGGCGUAAAGCGCGCGUAGGUGGUUCAGCAAGUUGGAUGUGAAAGCCCUGGGCUCAACCUGGGAACUGCAUCCAAAACUACUGAGCUAGAGUACGGUAGAGGGUAGCGGAAUUUCCUGUGUAGCGGUGAAAUGCGUAGAUAUAGGAAGG